RNAcentral lists this ribosomal RNA (424 nucleotides) under uncultured prokaryote. Its description in RNAcentral is "bacterial SSU rRNA". It matches the Rfam family "Bacterial small subunit ribosomal RNA", at positions 355 to 796 of the family's 1533-position model. The record is from RNAcentral.
UGGGGAAUCUUGGACAAUGGGGGCAACCCUGAUCCAGCCAUGCCGCGUGGGUGAAGAAGGCCUUAGGGUUGUAAAGCCCUUUCAGUCGUGACGAUGAUGACGGUAGCGACAGAAGAAGCCCCGGCUAACUCCGUGCCAGCAGCCGCGGUAAUACGGAGGGGGUUAGCGUUGUUCGGAAUUACUGGGCGUAAAGCGCACGUAGGCGGACUAGUCAGUCAGAGGUGAAAUCCCAGGGCUCAACCCUGGAACUGCCUUUGAUACUGCUAGUCUUGAGUUCGAGAGAGGUGAGUGGAAUUCCGAGUGUAGAGGUGAAAUUCGUAGAUAUUCGGAGGAACACCAGUGGCGAAGGCGGCUCACUGGCUCGAUACUGACGCUGAGGUGCGAAAGUGUGGGGAGCAAACAGGAUUAGAUACCCGUGUAGUCC